GAAGAGCAACCUGCAAGUGAAACCACCGUGCUAAAGGUGGAUAAUGCCGGUCCCAGUGGUUUCACUCGCAGCGGUAGGCUAUUUGCUCCUGAUGCGUUGAGGAGAGGUGAAGAAGAAAAAGAUAAAAAAGAAAAGGCCGAGGCUUUAGCCAGGGCAAAGGGAAAGUCUGUGGUGGAUAAUGGUGGUACUCCUGUGGUGACACCGGCGCCUGCGGGGUCGGAUAAUAAACUUGAUGAUGAGGCUGAAGAGUUCUUGCGAAUCAUUAAGAAGUCGGAGUACAAACUGGUUGAUCAUUUGCAGCAAACUCCUUCCAAGAUCUCAAUUCUUUCGUUGCUGCUGAGCUCAG
This 346-nucleotide long non-coding RNA is filed under the name Lathyrus oleraceus (garden pea). Its description in RNAcentral is "Pisum sativum (pea) long non-coding RNA (PSAT_LNC041302)". Lineage: Eukaryota; Viridiplantae; Streptophyta; Magnoliopsida; Fabales; Fabaceae. The record is from RNAcentral.